UGGACUUGACAUGCAGGUGUCAGCCGUGGAAACACGGUCUCACUUCGGUGCACCUGUGCAGGUGCUGCAUGGCUGUCGUCAGCUCGUGUCGUGAAAUGUUGGGUUAAGUCCCGCAACGAGCGCAACCCUUGUCCUUAGUUGCCAUCAGGUUAUGCUGGGAACUCUAAGGAGACUGCCGGUGACAAACCGGAGGAAGGUGGGGACGACGUCAAGUCAUCAUGGCCCUUACGUCCAGGGCUACACACGUGCUACAAUGGCCGGUACAAAGGGCUGCGAUGCCGCGAGGUGGAGCGAAUCCCAAAAAGCCGGUCUCAGUUCGGAUUGCAGUCUGCAACUCGACUGCAUGAAGU
Molecule: ribosomal RNA, 350 nt
Filed under: uncultured bacterium
Lineage: Bacteria
Description: bacterial SSU rRNA
Rfam family: Bacterial small subunit ribosomal RNA
Source: RNAcentral